UGGGGAUUUUGGACAAUGGGGGAAACCCUGAUCCAGCCAUCCCGCGUGUGCGAUGAAGGCCUUCGGGUUGUAAAGCACUUUUGGCAGGAAAGAAACGUCAUGGGUUAAUACCCCGUGAAACUGACGGUACCUGCAGAAUAAGCACCGGCUAACUACGUGCCAGCAGCCGCGGUAAUACGUAGGGUGCAAGCGUUAAUCGGAAUUACUGGGCGUAAAGCGUGCGCAGGCGGUUCGGAAAGAAAGAUGUGAAAUCCCAGAGCUCAACUUUGGAACUGCAUUUUUAACUACCGGGCUAGAGUGUGUCAGAGGGAGGUGGAAUUCCGCGUGUAGCAGUGAAAUGCGUAGAUAUGCGGAGGAACACCGAUGGCGAAGGCAGCCUCCUGGGAUAACACUGACGCUCAUGCACGAAAGCGUGGGGAGCAAACAGG
RNAcentral lists this ribosomal RNA (428 nucleotides) under Acidobacteriota bacterium. Its description in RNAcentral is "Acidobacteria bacterium partial 16S ribosomal RNA". It matches the Rfam family "Bacterial small subunit ribosomal RNA", at positions 356 to 776 of the family's 1533-position model. The record is from RNAcentral. Lineage: Bacteria; Pseudomonadati; Acidobacteriota.